Quercus lobata is the source of this 689-nucleotide long non-coding RNA. RefSeq lists it as uncharacterized. The transcript is spliced from 2 exons. The record is from RefSeq and is a predicted model, not a curated record. Lineage: Eukaryota; Viridiplantae; Streptophyta; Magnoliopsida; Fagales; Fagaceae.
UCAAAUAAAAAUUCUUCGCUUUGUCCCUGCUCCUACCAAGCAAACCCCACACUGAUUUUGCCUAAACGUGAGUUGAGAGUCUUAACUUCUUUUAGAGCUGUGGAUAUGGCUGGGAAACUCAUGAAAGCAGUGCAGUACAAUGGCUAUGGCGAAGGACCUGAUGGCUUACAGCAUGCUGAAGUACCAAUUCCCACUCCCAAAAACAAUGAUCUAAUUUGAGCCCAAAUGGGAAGGUAGUUGAUAUUAUUCUUGGCCCUAGUGCCCUGGUGACUUUUGCCCUGAAGAAACUUACAUUGUCCAAGAAGCAAUUGGUGCCACUAAUACUAAUUCCCAAGAGUGAGAACCUCCAAUAUCUUGUUAACUUGGUCAAGGAAGGGAAGCUCAAGACAAUAAUUGACUCAAAAUAUCCCCUGGGCAAGGCCAAAGAUGCUUGGGCUAAGAGUAUUGAUGGCCACGCAACUGGGAAGAUCAUUGUGGAGCCUUAGGCAUACGUAAUAUGCCCUGAAUUUCUGAAGUUGAUGUAAUACAAUAAUAAGAUUAGUUAAGGGCCAUGCAUUUAGAGCUGUGUAAAACAAUGCAUCUGGGGAUGUUUGGUUUUACCUUGUAAUUAAGUUCCUUCGAUCUGAUUAUGCAAAAUGAUGAUGUUUAGGUUAUAUGUUCUUGCUGUGGCUUUGGUCAUGUUUGUUAUU